Molecule: ribosomal RNA, 497 nt
Filed under: uncultured bacterium
Lineage: Bacteria
Description: partial 16S ribosomal RNA
Rfam family: Bacterial small subunit ribosomal RNA
Source: RNAcentral
GAUGAACGCUGGCGGCGUGCCUAACACAUGCAAGUCGAGCGAACAGACGAGGAGCUUGCUCCUUUGACGCUAGCGGCGGACGGGCGAGUAACACGAGGAUAACCUACCUAUAAGACUGGGAUAACUUCGGGAAACCGGAGCCAAUACCGGAUAAUAUAUCGAACCGCAUGGUUCUAUAGCGAAAGACGGCUUUGCUGUCACCUAUAGAUGGAUCCACGCCGCCUUAGCUAGUUGGUAAGGUAACGGCUUACCAACGCACCGAUGCGUAGCCGACCUGGGAGGCUGCUCGGCCACACUGGAACUGAGACACCGUCCCGACUCCUACGGGAGGCCGCCGUAGGGAAUCUUCCGCCCUGGGCGAAGGCCUCACGGAGCACCCCCGCGUGAGUGAUGAGGGUCUUCGGAUCGUAAAACUCUGUUAUUAGGGAAGAACGAAUGUGUAACUAACUAUGCACGUCUUGCCCGUACCUAGUCAGAACGCCGCGCCUACCUUCUUG